UGGAGCAUGUGUUUAAUUCGAAGCAACGACGAAGAACCUUACCAGGUCUUGACAUCCCGAUGCUAUUUCUAGAGAUAGAAAGUUACUUCGGUACAUCGGUGACAGGUGGUGCAUGGUUGUCGUCAGCUCGUGUCGUGAGAUGUUGGGUUAAGUCCCGCAACGAGCGCAACCCCUAUUGUUAGUUGCCAUCAUUCAGUUGGGCACUCUAGCGAGACUGCCGGUAAUAAACCGGAGGAAGGUGGGGAUGACGUCAAAUCAUCAUGCCCCUUAUGACCUGGGCUACACACGUGCUACAAUGGUUGGUACAACGAGUUGCGAGUCGGUGACGGCGAGCUAAUCUCUUAAAGCCAAUCUCAGUUCGGAUUGUAGGCUGCAACUCGCCUACAUGAAGUCGGAAUCGCUAGUAAUCGCGGAUCAGCACGCCGCGGUGAAUACGUUCCCGGGCCUU
Molecule: ribosomal RNA, 448 nt
Filed under: uncultured Streptococcus sp.
Lineage: Bacteria; Bacillati; Bacillota; Bacilli; Lactobacillales; Streptococcaceae
Description: bacterial SSU rRNA
Rfam family: Bacterial small subunit ribosomal RNA
Source: RNAcentral